RNAcentral lists this ribosomal RNA (253 nucleotides) under uncultured bacterium. Its description in RNAcentral is "partial 16S ribosomal RNA". It matches the Rfam family "Bacterial small subunit ribosomal RNA", at positions 524 to 776 of the family's 1533-position model. The record is from RNAcentral.
UACGGAGGGUGCGAGCGUUGUUCGGAAUCACUGGGCGUAAAGGGCGUGUAGGCGGUCCGCUAAGUCUGAUGUGAAAGCCCGGGGCUCACCCCCGGAAGUGCAUUGGAAACUGGCGGACUCGAGUCCCGGAGAGGAGAGUGGAAUUCCUGGUGUAGCGGUGGAAUGCGCAGAUAUCAGGAGGAACACCAAUAGCGAAGGCAGCUCGCUGGGACGUUACUGACACUGAGGCGCGAAAGCGUGGGGAGCGAACAGG